RNAcentral lists this ribosomal RNA (233 nucleotides) under Cordyceps sp. RNAcentral describes it as "partial large subunit ribosomal RNA". It matches the Rfam family "Eukaryotic large subunit ribosomal RNA", at positions 104 to 339 of the family's 3401-position model. Lineage: Eukaryota; Fungi; Ascomycota; Sordariomycetes; Hypocreales; Cordycipitaceae. The record is from RNAcentral.
ACAGCUCAAAUUUGAAAUCUGGUCCCCAGGGCCCGAGUUGUAAUUUGUAGAGGAUGCUUUUGGCGCGGCGCCUUCCGAGUUCCCUGGAACGGGACGCCAUAGAGGGUGAGAGCCCCGUCUGGUCGGAUGCCUAGCCUCUGUAAAGCUCCUUCGACGAGUCGAGUAGUUUGGGAAUGCUGCUCAAAAUGGGAGGUAUAUGUCUUCUAAAGCUAAAUACCGGCCAGAGACCGAUA